RNAcentral lists this ribosomal RNA (548 nucleotides) under uncultured bacterium. Its description in RNAcentral is "bacterial SSU rRNA". It matches the Rfam family "Bacterial small subunit ribosomal RNA", at positions 355 to 895 of the family's 1533-position model. The record is from RNAcentral.
UAGGGAAUCUUCGGCAAUGGGGGCAACCCUGACCGAGCAACGCCGCGUGAGUGAAGAAGGUUUUCGGAUCGUAAAGCUCUGUUGUAAGUCAAGAACGAGUGUGAGAGUGGAAAGUUCACACUGUGACGGUAGCUUACCAGAAAGGGACGGCUAACUACGUGCCAGCAGCCGCGGUAAUACGUAGGUCCCGAGCGUUGUCCGGAUUUAUUGGGCGUAAAGCGAGCGCAGGCGGUUUGAUAAGUCUGAAGUUAAAGGCUGUGGCUCAACCAUAGUUCGCUUUGGAAACUGUCAAACUUGAGUGCAGAAGGGGAGAGUGGAAUUCCAUGUGUAGCGGUGAAAUGCGUAGAUAUAUGGAGGAACACCGGUGGCGAAAGCGGCUCUCUGGUCUGUAACUGACGCUGAGGCUCGAAAGCGUGGGGAGCGAACAGGAUUAGAUACCCUGGUAGUCCACGCCGUNNCGAUGAGUGCUAGGUGUUGGAUCCUUUCCGGGAUUCAGUGCCGCAGCUAACGCANUAANCACUCCGCCUGGGGAGUACNACCGCAAGGNU